CUCGUUAGCUCAGUUGGUAGAGCAAUUGACUUUUAAUCAAUGGGUCACUGGUUCGAG
RNAcentral lists this transfer RNA (57 nucleotides) under Streptococcus pneumoniae. Its description in RNAcentral is "tRNA-Lys". It matches the Rfam family "tRNA", at positions 8 to 57 of the family's 71-position model. Rfam says of the family: Transfer RNA (tRNA) molecules are approximately 80 nucleotides in length. Their secondary structure includes four short double-helical elements and three loops (D, anti-codon, and T loops). Lineage: Bacteria; Bacillati; Bacillota; Bacilli; Lactobacillales; Streptococcaceae. The record is from RNAcentral.